GACGUAGGGGGCGAGCGUUAUUCGGAAUUAUUGGGCGUAAAGCGCUCGUAGGCGGGCUCGGUAGUCCGUGAAGAAAGACCUGGGCUCAACCCAGGGAACGGCGCGGAUACUUCGAUUCUUGAGGCAAUCAGAGGGUGAUGGAAUUCCCGGCGUAGCGGUGAAAUGCGUAGAUAUCGGGAGGAACACCAGUGGCGAAGGCGAUCACCUGGGGUUGUUCUGACGCUGAGGAGCGAAAGCUAGGGGAGCAAACGGG
This 253-nucleotide ribosomal RNA is filed under the name uncultured bacterium. RNAcentral's name for it is "partial 16S ribosomal RNA". It matches the Rfam family "Bacterial small subunit ribosomal RNA", at positions 524 to 776 of the family's 1533-position model. The record is from RNAcentral.